Molecule: small RNA, 26 nt
Filed under: Arabidopsis thaliana (thale cress)
Lineage: Eukaryota; Viridiplantae; Streptophyta; Magnoliopsida; Brassicales; Brassicaceae
Description: ATSL114820
Source: RNAcentral
UUUGUGAUUUAUUUUAUUUUAUUUUU